This 1418-nucleotide long non-coding RNA is filed under the name Salmo trutta (river trout). RNAcentral's name for it is "lncRNA (ENSSTUG00000014071.1)". The record is from RNAcentral. Lineage: Eukaryota; Metazoa; Chordata; Actinopteri; Salmoniformes; Salmonidae.
CUGUCAUCAGCUGUUCAUACUACUGCAUCUUCAUACAAAUGAUUUGUGAAGCAUGGUGUGGUUAUGAAGACUUUAUGUCUGCUUUAUAAAGCCUUUGAAAUCUAAUGAGAACCUGAAAAGUCCCUGUUGUAGCCUAGGUCACUAGUGUUAACCUGUGUGGGUCUGUGUAGUCUGGCCCGCCAGUGGACAGUGGAGGAUGAAGAGGAAGUGGAAAGGGAGAGGAGGAGGAAGGAGAGGAGCUAUAGCAGCACUGACCCCGACAAUGACCUUUCACCUGAAAACGACCUUUCUCCCCGACACACCCCCGGAAACCAACCCACCAAUGACAACGCUCCAAGCAUCACCAGUGCGGAGCUGCUCCAGCUGGACUUUGAGGAGAUGCUCAGUGUUCGAGACGAGAGGAGGAGGAACAGACACAUAGAGACUCUCAGACGACAGAAAGGAGAGGAGGAGGGGAGAGAUGGAGGCGAGGAGGGGAGAGAGGGAGGGGAGGAGGGGAGAGUGGAGCUAUUGGGGGAUGUGGAAGAAGGGGGGAGACAGACACCUCCAAUAGACACCACCAUCCAACCUUCACCCUCAACCCCACCCUCAUCCAUAUCUUCACCCAUACCCUCAACCCCUACCAACCCUUUAGACAGACAGCAGCAGAAUGGUUCUCAGGACCCAGGCCCAGACUCCAAACCUCCCUUCAAGUUUGUCAGUUCUCUGUCCAUCUCCUUUGAUAAGAGUCCCUCCCCCAGCGGGCAUACAAGUCCCAUGAGCCCCCUUUCUCCCACAACGCCGCUGUCCCCCACUAGAGGAGCUCAGAGCCCCACCCACUACGGACACACAGAGGGCAGUGUGGAUGGAUCCUCAGUUAGUUUGGAGCAGACCGCCAGACCAGCCUUCGCCAGACAGAGCUCUAGGACCGUCUCCUUCAGGAUGCUGAGGAAGAAAGAGGAGGAAAGCGUGCCUUUACAGAGGAGGUAACAGACACACACACACACACACAUUAGAUAAGCCCAAGCCCUACCCAUGCCCAUGACAUUCACCAUUGCCCGGUUGCUUCUGCCAAAUGUAAGGCCAUGUUUGAGAUAUUCUGAAAGACUGAAUGACUGGCCAUCAAGUGCAUGUCGUCACUUCCUGUUGAACGCGGAACGAGAGAGAGCUCGCUUUGUUGUUUUGAAAGUCUCUGUGUGUUCUAAAGAAGUGUUCUAUUGAAAAAGUUUGGUUACUAGCUAGCUACCUUUUGAGUUUGGAUCCCGCAACGCGAUUGGCAUCAGUUGCUGGGACCGCUACUAUCUGUCCUGCCGACCAAAGCUGGGUUUGAGGAGCUGCUUGGCGUAGUAGCUAGCCUAGCUGCCACUGUUAGCUGUUUAUCAAGCUAGAGGGGUUUCCUUGAGGGCUUGAAUGCAGCCCGGGCUUGUGGCUGUUCGGAU